GGACCAUCAUGUCGGUCGUGCCUCGGUACGUACUGGUAUUGUUGGUUCCUCCCUUCUGAAGAACCAUGAUGUCAUUUAUUUGGUGUUGUGGGGAAUCAGGACUGUUACUUUGAAAAAAUUAGAGUGUUUAAAGCAGGCUCGCGCUCGAAUACAUUAGCAUGGAAUAAUGAAAUAGGACGUUUGAUCUUAUUUUGUUGGUUUCUAGGAUUGACGUA
Molecule: ribosomal RNA, 215 nt
Filed under: Campeiostachys nutans
Lineage: Eukaryota; Viridiplantae; Streptophyta; Magnoliopsida; Poales; Poaceae
Description: Elymus nutans partial small subunit ribosomal RNA
Rfam family: Eukaryotic small subunit ribosomal RNA (bases 37-215)
Source: RNAcentral